GACGGAGGGUGCAAACGUUGUUCGGAAUUACUGGGCGUAAAGCGCGUGUAGGCGGCUAAGUAAGUCGGGCGUGAAAUCCCACGGCUCAACCGUGGAAGUGCACUCGAAACUGCAUAGCUAGAGUCCUGGAGAGGAAGGUGGAAUGCUUGGUGUAGAGGUGAAAUUCGUAGAUAUCAAGCGGAACACCGGUGGCGAAGGCGGCCUUCUGGACAGUGACUGACGCUGAGACGCGAAAGCGUGGGGAGCAAACAGG
This 253-nucleotide ribosomal RNA is filed under the name uncultured bacterium. Its description in RNAcentral is "partial 16S ribosomal RNA". It matches the Rfam family "Bacterial small subunit ribosomal RNA", at positions 524 to 776 of the family's 1533-position model. The record is from RNAcentral.